CUCGUAGGCGGCUCAGCAAGUCGGCCGUGAAAGCCCGAGGCUCAACCUCGGGACGCCGGUCGAAACUGCUGUGGCUAGGGUUCGGUAGAGGAGAGUGGAAUUCCCGGUGUAGCGGUGAAAUGCGCAGAUAUCGGGAGGAACACCAGUAGCGAAGGCGGCUCUCUGGGCCGACACCGACGCUGAGGAGCGAAAGCUAGGGGAGCAAACAGGAUUAGAUACCCUGGUAGUCC
This 230-nucleotide ribosomal RNA is filed under the name uncultured bacterium. RNAcentral's name for it is "partial 16S ribosomal RNA". It matches the Rfam family "Bacterial small subunit ribosomal RNA", at positions 568 to 796 of the family's 1533-position model. The record is from RNAcentral.